RNAcentral lists this ribosomal RNA (348 nucleotides) under uncultured Helicobacter sp. Its description in RNAcentral is "bacterial SSU rRNA". It matches the Rfam family "Bacterial small subunit ribosomal RNA", at positions 278 to 643 of the family's 1533-position model. The record is from RNAcentral. Lineage: Bacteria; Pseudomonadati; Campylobacterota; Epsilonproteobacteria; Campylobacterales; Helicobacteraceae.
GACGGGUAUCCGGCCUGAGAGGGUGAACGGACACACUGGAACUGAGACACGGUCCAGACUCCUACGGGAGGCAGCAGUAGGGAAUAUUGCUCAAUGGGGGAAACCCUGAAGCAGCAACGCCGCGUGGAGGAUGAAGGUUUUAGGAUUGUAAACUCCUUUUGUUAGAGAAGAUUAUGACGGUAUCUAACGAAUAAGCACCGGCUAACUCCGUGCCAGCAGCCGCGGUAAUACGGAGGGUGCAAGCGUUACUCGGAAUCACUGGGCGUAAAGAGUGCGCAGGCGGGAUAGCAAGUCAGAUGUGAAGUGCUAUGGCUUAACCAUAGAACUGCAUUUGAAACUGUUAUUCUA